CAAAAUAUAAACAGAAAUGGUGGUCGCUCAUUAUUGUCUUGAAAAUUUGGGUACUUAGUACUCUGCUCUGCACUUCAUUUGUUUAUGUGUUAAAUUGAUUAUUUUGAUAGUCACAUUAUGUUUCUUUGAUUAAGUUAGAUUCAUAGGAUUGGAAGUAGGUGUAUUUGUUGGGAGUUCUUUGAUUAAGGCAUACUUUGAAAAUUGUUGUAUUUUUGGUGCAAGAAUACUGUUUGAUAAAAUGUUUCAAAGAGAUAUUGUGUUAGAGAUAAAGAAACAUUUGAGGAAGCAACAACAAGAGGCAGAGAAAGUUCAAAGAUGUUGAAAGAAAGAAGAAGUUGAACUAAAAAGGCAAUGAUUUCUUUUGGUUGCUCUCUUGAUAUGUUAAUAUUUGCUAUUAUGAUGUUAUUACUAAAGGAAUUCUACCCAUAUCAAAAGUUAAUAAUAGAGUUAUCAAUGUGGACAUAUAUAUAUAGUGUAUUUGUGUUAAUUAAUGUUUGUAACGAUUUGUCUGUAAAUUUUUUAGUUUGACUGCUUAUGAUGGUCUGUAUUGCUUUUUUAAAGUAUAUUACUAAGCUUUUAAAUAAUGCCUUGGAGGUGUUUGAAUGAAUGAUUCACUAAGAUAUAUGUGAAUAAUUUCUUAUCAGUGAGGAAAUUGGAUUUUUGGCCCUGAAUUUUUUCUUAGCGUUGAUUAUUUAAGAGUCCAUAAUUGUAAGUGUUAGUGUAAGACCCAUGUAUUUAUGCUCUUUAGCUAUAAAUAUAUAUAAAUGGCUUUAUGAGUGUGAAUGAGGUAAGUUUUUGUUAUAUAUAGUGGGAUGUGCUCUGUUCCAUAAUUUUUCAAAUAUUGCUGAAGAAAUAGUUACAGAGUCAAAUUGGACCAGUGAGUUAAAUGAUUUCAAGGAAGCAUCAUAGUAUCACUUUUAUAUAAUUAAUUUAUGAUGUUCUGAAAAAAUUUCUGACCAUAGUUCAUACUUAUUAUAUAAUAAAUUGCCAAGCUUUUACAUUAUUUUACAAGUAAUUUAUAUAAAAUAAAUUAAAUGCACUUCUUUAUUUGUAACUCCAUAUUAGCUUUAGAUGUCUUGUUUAGUUAUUCCUCUUUGAAAGUAAAUGGGUUCAAUAGAAAGAGAUUGUGGGUUCUUUAUCAUCAGUAUAUCAACCACAGAGACCUCUUCUAGAGACAUCAUCAACAUCUGUCGAUUCAGCUGCAACUGGACAUGCGAGUGGAGUUGAUUGGCAAGAAGAGGUUUACCAGAAGAUCAAAACAAUGAAGGAACUGUAGUUACCUGAACUUCAUGAAUUGUAUCAAAAAAUUGCUGGCAAAUUACAGCAGGUA
Molecule: long non-coding RNA, 1330 nt
Organism: Humulus lupulus (European hop)
Lineage: Eukaryota; Viridiplantae; Streptophyta; Magnoliopsida; Rosales; Cannabaceae
Exons: 3
Source: RefSeq, a predicted model, not a curated record